Carica papaya (papaya) is the source of this 350-nucleotide non-coding RNA. The record is from RefSeq and is a predicted model, not a curated record. NCBI's taxonomy places the organism in Eukaryota, Viridiplantae, Streptophyta, Magnoliopsida, Brassicales, Caricaceae.
GUCUUCCCUGGCCCUAUGAUUCUUGGGAAGUUUCCGGAACUCCUCAGUCAAGCGGAGGCACUCGUGGAUGUUUUCGGGAGACACAAAGUCUGCAGCUACUUUUGUACAUGACUGCACAUAUAUUCGGCAACAUAACAAGUGAGGAAUAAAUACAGCCUCCCCUAGUCGCUGUGUAAAAGUCCAUGGCUCAACUCCUACAUAAUGAAGCAACAAUCAAGUAAAAAGAUUGGUCGUGAAUUGGAUGGAUAACCUAAUCAUCAACAAGCAUAACCUUCAGAACUUGAAGCACAUAAAAUUAGAUUAAGGAACUCACAGUUGGAAUUACCUGUUUCACUGGAGUACAAUAGGUG